Molecule: ribosomal RNA, 2741 nt
Filed under: Salmonella enterica subsp. enterica serovar Typhimurium str. DT104
Lineage: Bacteria; Pseudomonadati; Pseudomonadota; Gammaproteobacteria; Enterobacterales; Enterobacteriaceae
Description: bacterial LSU rRNA
Rfam family: Bacterial large subunit ribosomal RNA
Source: RNAcentral
UAGGUUAAUGAGGCGAACCGGGGGAACUGAAACAUCUAAGUACCCCGAGGAAAAGAAAUCAACCGAGAUUCCCCCAGUAGCGGCGAGCGAACGGGGAGGAGCCCAGAGCCUGAAUCAGCAUGUGUGUUAGUGGAAGCGUCUGGAAAGGCGCGCGAUACAGGGUGACAGCCCCGUACACAAAAGCGCAUGUGCUGUGAGCUCGAUGAGUAGGGCGGGACACGUGGUAUCCUGUCUGAAUAUGGGGGGACCAUCCUCCAAGGCUAAAUACUCCUGACUGACCGAUAGUGAACCAGUACCGUGAGGGAAAGGCGAAAAGAACCCCGGCGAGGGGAGUGAAAAAGAACCUGAAACCGUGUACGUACAAGCAGUGGGAGCACCCUUCGGGGUGUGACUGCGUACCUUUUGUAUAAUGGGUCAGCGACUUAUAUUCUGUAGCAAGGUUAACCGUAUAGGGGAGCCGGAGGGAAACCGAGUCUUAACCGGGCGUUAAGUUGCAGGGUAUAGACCCGAAACCCGGUGAUCUAGCCAUGGGCAGGUUGAAGGUUGGGUAACACUAACUGGAGGACCGAACCGACUAAUGUUGAAAAAUUAGCGGAUGACCUGUGGCUGGGGGUGAAAGGCCAAUCAAACCGGGAGAUAGCUGGUUCUCCCCGAAAGCUAUUUAGGUAGCGCCUCGUGAAUUCAUCUCCGGGGGUAGAGCACUGUUUCGGCUAGGGGGCCAUCCCGGCUUACCAACCCGAUGCAAACUGCGAAUACCGGAGAAUGUUAUCACGGGAGACACACGGCGGGUGCUAACGUCCGUCGUGAAGAGGGAAACAACCCAGACCGCCAGCUAAGGUCCCAAAGUCAUGGUUAAGUGGGAAACGAUGUGGGAAGGCCCAGACAGCCAGGAUGUUGGCUUAGAAGCAGCCAUCAUUUAAAGAAAGCGUAAUAGCUCACUGGUCGAGUCGGCCUGCGCGGAAGAUGUAACGGGGCUAAACCAUGCACCGAAGCUGCGGCAGCGACGCUGAUGCGUUGUUGGGUAGGGGAGCGUUCUGUAAGCCUGCGAAGGUGACCUGUGAGGGUUGCUGGAGGUAUCAGAAGUGCGAAUGCUGACAUAAGUAACGAUAAAGCGGGUGAAAAGCCCGCUCGCCGGAAGACCAAGGGUUCCUGUCCAACGUUAAUCGGGGCAGGGUGAGUCGACCCCUAAGGCGAGGCCGAAAGGCGUAGUCGAUGGGAAACGGGUUAAUAUUCCCGUACUUGGUGUUACUGCGAAGGGGGGACGGAGAAGGCUAUGUUGGCCGGGCGACGGUUGUCCCGGUUUAAGCGUGUAGGUGUGUGUUCCAGGUAAAUCCGGUUCACUUUAACACUGAGGCGUGACGACGAGGCACUACGGUGCUGAAGCAACAAAUGCCCUGCUUCCAGGAAAAGCCUCUAAGCAUCAGGUAACACGAAAUCGUACCCCAAACCGACACAGGUGGUCAGGUAGAGAAUACCAAGGCGCUUGAGAGAACUCGGGUGAAGGAACUAGGCAAAAUGGUGCCGUAACUUCGGGAGAAGGCACGCUGACACGUAGGUGAAGUGAUUUACUCAUGGAGCUGAAGUCAGUCGAAGAUACCAGCUGGCUGCAACUGUUUAUUAAAAACACAGCACUGUGCAAACACGAAAGUGGACGUAUACGGUGUGACGCCUGCCCGGUGCCGGAAGGUUAAUUGAUGGGGUCAGCGCAAGCGAAGCUCCUGAUCGAAGCCCCGGUAAACGGCGGCCGUAACUAUAACGGUCCUAAGGUAGCGAAAUUCCUUGUCGGGUAAGUUCCGACCUGCACGAAUGGCGUAAUGAUGGCCAGGCUGUCUCCACCCGAGACUCAGUGAAAUUGAACUCGCUGUGAAGAUGCAGUGUACCCGCGGCAAGACGGAAAGACCCCGUGAACCUUUACUAUAGCUUGACACUGAACAUUGAGCCUUGAUGUGUAGGAUAGGUGGGAGGCUUUGAAGUGUGGACGCCAGUCUGCAUGGAGCCGACCUUGAAAUACCACCCUUUAAUGUUUGAUGUUCUAACGUGGACCCGUAAUCCGGGUUGCGGACAGUGUCUGGUGGGUAGUUUGACUGGGGCGGUCUCCUCCUAAAGAGUAACGGAGGAGCACGAAGGUUGGCUAAUCCUGGUCGGACAUCAGGAGGUUAGUGCAAUGGCAUAAGCCAGCUUGACUGCGAGCGUGACGGCGCGAGCAGGUGCGAAAGCAGGUCAUAGUGAUCCGGUGGUUCUGAAUGGAAGGGCCAUCGCUCAACGGAUAAAAGGUACUCCGGGGAUAACAGGCUGAUACCGCCCAAGAGUUCAUAUCGACGGCGGUGUUUGGCACCUCGAUGUCGGCUCAUCACAUCCUGGGGCUGAAGUAGGUCCCAAGGGUAUGGCUGUUCGCCAUUUAAAGUGGUACGCGAGCUGGGUUUAGAACGUCGUGAGACAGUUCGGUCCCUAUCUGCCGUGGGCGCUGGAGAACUGAGGGGGGCUGCUCCUAGUACGAGAGGACCGGAGUGGACGCAUCACUGGUGUUCGGGUUGUCAUGCCAAUGGCACUGCCCGGUAGCUAAAUGCGGAAGAGAUAAGUGCUGAAAGCAUCUAAGCACGAAACUUGCCCCGAGAUGAGUUCUCCCUGAGACUUAGAGUCUCCUGAAGGAACGUUGAAGACGACGACGUUGAUAGGCCGGGUGUGUAAGCGCAGCGAUGCGUUGAGCUAACCGGUACUAAUGAACCGUGAGGCUUAACCUU